RNAcentral lists this transfer RNA (73 nucleotides) under bacterium SCGC AG-212-C10. It matches the Rfam family "tRNA". Rfam says of the family: Transfer RNA (tRNA) molecules are approximately 80 nucleotides in length. The record is from Rfam by way of RNAcentral.
GGGCCCGUAGCUCAAAGGUUAGAGCGGCCGGCUCAUAACCGGUUGGUCGUGGGUUCGAAUCCCGCCGGGCCCA